GUUAAUUCGGGUGCAGGCGCGGCGGUAGUGCGAAGGGUGCAAGCGGUAGUCGGAAUUACUGGGCGGAAGGCGGGCGUAGGUGGCUUUUUAAGUCGGAUGUGAAAGCCCCGAGCGUAACUUGGGAAAUGCAUUCGGUACUGGGAAGCUAGAGUAUGGGAGAGGAUGGUAGAAUUCCAGGUGUAGCGGUGAAAUGCGUAGAGAUCUGGAGGAAUACCGAUGGCGAAGGCAGCCAUCUGGCCUAAUACUGACGCUGAGGUACGAAAGCAUGGGGAGCAAACAGGAUUAGAUACCCCUGUAGUC
Molecule: ribosomal RNA, 300 nt
Filed under: uncultured Lactobacillus sp.
Lineage: Bacteria; Bacillati; Bacillota; Bacilli; Lactobacillales; Lactobacillaceae
Description: bacterial SSU rRNA
Rfam family: Bacterial small subunit ribosomal RNA
Source: RNAcentral